UCCAUCCCAGUCCUGCUUUAUUUGGGAUUCCUGAGUUCAUUUUUGGUUUAUUUGGGAUUCCUGGCUCCACCCCAGUCCUGUUUUAUUUGGGAUUCCUGAGUCCAUCCCUNNNUUAUUUGGGAUUCCUGGCUCCAUCCCUGCUUUAUUUGGGAUAAUAAAACGGAUCCAUCCCUCACUGCCCACUGGCAUUUCCCUGUUCUCGCAGCUCCAGGCAGGGAAUUCUCUCUGAAAUAAAAAUCCCUGCAGUGCCCAGCUCUGGGCAAUGUUUGGGAUCUGGUUUGGGAUCUGGGGAGGUUUUAUCCAUCCCUGAUCCAUCCCCACCCGCUCUGGGGAGGGUUUGGGAUCAGGUUUAGGAUCUGCUGGGGUUUAUCCAUCCCCACCAGCUCUGGGCAGUGUUUGGGAUCAGGUUUGGGAUCAGGUUUAGGGUCUGAUGAAGUUUUAUCCAUCCCCACCAGCCCUAGGGGAUGUUUAGGAUCAGGUUUGGGAUCUGAUUUAGGAUCUGCUGGGGUUCAUCCAUCCUCACCUGCUCUGGGGAAGGUUUGGGAUCAGGUUUGGGAUCUGCUGGGGUUUCUCCAUCCCUUAUCCAUCCCCACCAGCUCUGGGCAAUGUUUGGGAUCAGGUUUAGGAUCAGGUUUAGGAUCUGCUGGGGUUUCUCCAUCCCCACAGCUCUGGGUCCUUCCCUGGUGCCCAGGGGUGAAGGUGCCAACGCUCAGAGCCUGGCAGGAAAAUUCCCCUUGAAUGUGGGGCAGGAUCAGAUCCCUCCUCCCCCCCUUUCCCAAACCCACAGCACUCCCUGACCAUAAUUCUCAUUUUUCCCGUUGUUAUCCCAGAACUCCAGCAGGAUUUAACCCUUUAAUGGACAUUUGUGGGUUUUAUCCCAUUCCCACUCCACGAGCUCUGGGAUUUGUGGCCUGGGGGGGACGAGGGGCUGGACCAGGGGUGGAUUUGGGAUUCUGCUGUACCCAGGAUUGGGAAUUCUGUCUCAGCUGAGCCCUGGCUGUGAGUGGAGCCUCCCCUCUGCACUAAUUUGGGAUUUUUGGUUGUACAAACCCCAUUAAAACGUGGAGAACUUUUCCAACUCGGCUUCCUGGGUCAUUUUUUUGGGGCUGGUGCUGGGACAGAGCCCCCCAAGCUCUGGAGCUCUGGGGUUGUUCCCUUUUCCCAACCUGGGAAUGAAACUCGAGAUCAUUUUAGGCCUGACUUCAAAUAAAAAUGGAUUUUACUUCA
RNAcentral lists this long non-coding RNA (1227 nucleotides) under Junco hyemalis (dark-eyed junco). RNAcentral's name for it is "lncRNA (ENSJHYG00000003340.1)". Lineage: Eukaryota; Metazoa; Chordata; Aves; Passeriformes; Passerellidae. The record is from RNAcentral.